RNA transcript from Onychostoma macrolepis, 2391 nucleotides. It is a transcript of the gene named mucin-2-like, with no coding region annotated. The transcript is spliced from 6 exons. The record is from RefSeq and is a predicted model, not a curated record. NCBI's taxonomy places the organism in Eukaryota, Metazoa, Chordata, Actinopteri, Cypriniformes, Cyprinidae.
AUGCAGGCAAUCUAUGAAGUUUUUUGUUGUAAUGUCAGCAUAUAUGGUUUCUAUCAGGCAAUAUUUACCUAGCAAUUUUGCUAGGUUUGUUUGAAUUCAGCACAUGGAAAGCUACAGAGCUUCGGCAAUUUUUACUUUACACUGGCCCUGUUGUUCUCCUCAAUAAUAUACCCAGUAGAAUGUACAGAAACUUUUUACUUCUAUCGGUAUCUAUGAGAAUUCUUCUGAGUCCUGCCUUAUGUUCUCCUGACAAUUGUGACUAUGCUGAGGAGAUUUUGAAACUCUUUGUAACAGAUUUUGCUGCAAUUUAUGGCACUGAAUUUGUCAGCUAUAACAUGCAUUCAUUGAUCCACCUAGCUCAAGAUGCACGAAAAUUCGGCCCGUUAGAUAGUGUUUCAGCUUUUCCCUUUGAGACAUUUUUAGGUAAACUGAAAAAACUUGUCCGUCGGCCUCAAAACCCUGUCCAACAACUCGUCAGGCGGAUCCAUGAGAAGCAGAAAGUGGCAAGCCAAAAGACCACAUCAGUUUUCAGCCCACUUAAACAGCUCCACUUUUCUGGACCAUUGAUUAAAUCAAUUGCAACAUGGGAAUAAUACAGGCGUUACAAUGAUGGACAGACACUGAUCUCCUCCUCUCGUGGCGAUGACUGUUUUUCUGUAGGGGGAAGGAUUCUUAUUGUGCGGAACAUUUUGUCACAUUUUGGAACUGUUAAAGUCCUGUGUAAUUUCUUUGAAACUGCCAAAUCCUUUUUCACCUAUCCAAUGGACUCAUCAUGUCUUGGAAUUCUGUUUGUUUUUAAUUUAUCUGAAGACUAGCAGCUGUUACCUGUGGAGGAGUUAAAAACAAAAAUGGUGUUAUUGCCACUCAAGACUGGAUACGUGGCAUUGCCACUCCUGCACUAGUGUGCUAUUUUUUUUAUUUAUUUUUUUUAUUGUUUGUUUUAAUUUUUUGUAUGUAUUUGUUUUUCUUUAAGCAUGUUACCUUUCGCGAUAGUUGAAUUUAUAAAUAGUGGAGGAUUGGCAGUUAUACCGACCAAAUGGUUUAUCGGGCCUGAGGAGGAUGAAUGCUACUGGCCACCAGCAAGGACGAACAUGGCUAAGGCAGUCAUAGAGCAACAGGACCCUCACACUGACUGGGCGACAUACAAGUUGACUGUCAAGAGAAAAGUCGCAACGUAUGAAAUUGCCCGCACAAAAUUAGUCGAGUAUGAACAGAACACAGAUGUACCAACCGAGUCUGAUUCUACAGAGAAUACGGGAAGGGGGAAGCGCAAAAAGAGGCGAGUGAUUUUGUCCAGUGAGGAUGAGGAUGAUGACAAUUGGUCCGGCAGUCAAAUCAGGCCUACACCUCCAUCCACCCUCAGUGCAUCCACCCUCAGAUCUGUGCUGACACCUGCACCGCCUCCAUCCACCCUCAGAUCUGUGCUGACACCUGCACCGCCUCCAUCCACCCUCAGAUCUGUGCAGACACCUGCACCGCCUCCAUCCACCCUCAGAUCUGUGCUGACACCUGCACCGCCUCCAUCCACCCUCAGGUCUUCACCUCCAUCUGCUAGGCCGACACUUCCACCACCUCUGGGUAACCUUAGAUGGCCCGAUGUUUCAACCCAUCACCACGUCACCAUGUCACCAGAAACCCCUCGAAGACAAAUCAGGGACAACAUGUUUGUUCGCAUCUUAACACUGCUUGAGGAGAUGAAAGAGACUCAAAAAAUCCAGGGGAGGAUGCUACAAACGCUUCUACAACAGCGUGGCAACAUUAGCACCACCGUCUCUUCUACCCCAGAGGGUUUCCCCCUAAAGACAGUUAGAGAUGUGGAAUUCAUGGAAGGAAAAACUGGCAAACCCAAACUUCAUGUCCGAACUGGUUGCAGCUGUGACUGACAUAGGGGGAACUGUUGACGAGGCCACAAAAAGGAUGAUGACCUUCCUCCUAGACCAUGCCCUAUCCAGGCAGUAUAACUUUCUGGGCCGAAAUGGGAAGAGAGAGUUCAAGGCCUUAAAACUGUAUGAAGUAAUAUAUGGAGGCUUAAAGAAAAACGCCAUGACCAGCCAAAUCACCCGUAAAGAUGCCGAGAAGGCGGUCUCCAAGUGGUAAUAGACAGGCCCGACAGGCAACCCCUCAACAAGGACUUCAGACUUCAGGCUCAUUUGAGGUGGAAAGAAACUAAUUCUGUCUGUGACAGUGAGGGAACACUGUACAAAAGCAUGUUGUCAUAAAUUUUACUUAAAUAAAAACAUAAUUAAUUGUAUUACUGGUCUCUUUAUUGUAGCUUGUUUAACCCAAGGUUUUCGGGUCUGUGGGACCCGUUUUCAAUGUUUGCUAAAAGAAAAAGUUAUGCUAUUUAUUAUUUCUUCUAACUCAAACUCAUUGGCCGUGGCUCAUUUUCUG